AAUGAACGUUGGCGGCGUGGAUUAGGCAUGCAAGUCGAGCGUGUACCCCGCAAGGGGGAAAGCGGCGUAAGGGAGAGUAAUACGUAGAUACGUGCCUCCGGGUCUGGGACAGCCACGGGAAACUGUGGGUAAUACCGGAUAAUGUCUGAGGACCAAAGGUGUGAUUCCACCUGGCGAUCGGUCUGCGUCCUAUCAUGCUUGUUGGUGAGGGAACGGCUCACCAGGGCUACGACGGGUACGGGGAGUGAGAGCUUGCCCCCGCUCACUGGGACUGAGACACUGCCCAGACACCUACGGGUGGCUGCAGUCGAGGAUCUUCGGCAAUGGGCGCAAGCCUGACCGAGCGACGCCGCGUGCGGGAUGAAGGCCUUCGGGUUGUAAACCGCUGUCAGUGGGGAGGAAGGCUCCGUGAAGAACGGGGUUUGACCUAUCCGCAGAGGAAGUGUGGGCUAAGUUCGUGCCAGCAGCCGCCGUAA
This 476-nucleotide ribosomal RNA is filed under the name uncultured bacterium. RNAcentral describes it as "partial 16S ribosomal RNA". It matches the Rfam family "Bacterial small subunit ribosomal RNA", at positions 28 to 523 of the family's 1533-position model. The record is from RNAcentral.